GAUUAACGCUGGCGGCGUGCCUAAUACAUGCAAGUCGAACGGGGUAGCAAUACCUAGUGGCGCACGGGUGAGGAACGCGUGGAUAAUCUGCCUUAGAGUGGGGGAUAACUAGUCGAAAGAUUAGCUAAUACCGCAUAAGACCACAGGAGCUGCGGCUCUAGGGGUCAAAGGUUUUUCGCUCUAAGAUGAGUCCGCGUAAGAUUAGCUAGUUGGUGAGGUAACGGCUCACCAAGGCGACGAUCUUUAACUGGUCUGAGAGGAUGAUCAGUCACACUGGAACUGAGACACGGUCCAGACUCCUACGGGAGGCAGCAGUAGGGAAUAUUGCACAAUGGAGGAAACUCUGAUGCAGCGACGCCGCGUGAGUGAUGAAGGCCUUCGGGUCGUAAAGCUCUGUCGCAGGGGAAUAACACAAUGAAUGUACCCUGUAAGAAAGGAUCGGCUAACUUCGUGCCAGCCGCCGCCGUAA
RNAcentral lists this ribosomal RNA (469 nucleotides) under uncultured bacterium. RNAcentral's name for it is "partial 16S ribosomal RNA". It matches the Rfam family "Bacterial small subunit ribosomal RNA", at positions 28 to 523 of the family's 1533-position model. The record is from RNAcentral.